GGUGAACGCUGGCGGCGUGCCUAACACAUGCAAGUCGAGCGGUACAGUUUGAAGCUUCGGUGGAGAGCUGUAUAGCGGCGGACGGGUGAGUAAAGCGUAGGAACGUGCCCCUCGGAGUUGGAUAGCCAUGGGAAACUGUGGGUAAACCGACAUAGACUCGGGAGAGUAAAGGCCGAAAGGCGCCGAGGGAGCGGUCUGCGUCCCAUCAGGUAGUUGGUAGGGUAAAGGCCUACCAAGCCGACGACGGGUAACCGGUCUGAGAGGAUGGCCGGUCACAAGGGCACUGAGAGACGGGCCCUACUCCUACGGGAGGCAGCAGGCUAGAAAUUUGGGCAAUGGGGGAAACCCUGACCCAGUGACGCCGCGUGCAGGAAGGAGCCCUUCGGGGUGUAAACUGCUGUCGUGUAGGGAGAAGGGUACUAAGGUGAACAAUCUUAGUACUUGACGGUACUACAGGAGGAAGCCCAGGCUAACCUCGUG
Molecule: ribosomal RNA, 480 nt
Filed under: uncultured bacterium
Lineage: Bacteria
Description: bacterial SSU rRNA
Rfam family: Bacterial small subunit ribosomal RNA
Source: RNAcentral